Molecule: small nucleolar RNA, 135 nt
Organism: Suncus etruscus (white-toothed pygmy shrew)
Lineage: Eukaryota; Metazoa; Chordata; Mammalia; Eulipotyphla; Soricidae
Product: small nucleolar RNA SNORA51
Exons: 1
Source: RefSeq, a predicted model, not a curated record
GGCCUUAAAAAAUUUCCCCCCAAAGGCAAUGUUUUUUACAUUGAUUGUAUAGAAAAAGGAGGCACAGUAAACACACUCCAUAUAUGCCUCAGUCCAGUUUGCCUGGUCUUUACUGUGUGAAUAGGGGAGACACGG